CCAAGAGAUCAUGACCUGAGCCAAAACCAAGAGUCGGACGCUUAACCGACUGAGCCACCCAGGUGCCCCAGAAAGCUGCUAUUCAAAAGCUGCAUCAGUGCUGUUGUUUUGAGCAGGGUUUCUGAGGAUGACUCAAGAUGGCUCUGUGCCCCUCCCCUUUGAAGUGCCCUAGGGUCCCCUGAGUUUCUUCCCAAAGGCCACCUGCUGCCUGGAGUCAUGGUUCCCACUGUUGGGACACACGAGUGGGAAUCUUGCUGGGCAGUCCCACUGCAGGCACUGAGGCUGGUGUCUCUAAUUUAUCAUCGGUUGCCAUCUGAGAGGGAUAGCCAGAUAGCCAGGGAUAGAAGGCUGGCUGGCUGCUCGAGGAAGGCCUGGGCAUGACUUGACCUGCACGCGGACACCAUGUUCCCAAGGUGGCCUUCAGCCCUGUAAGUCCAGAAACAUGCGGGGGCUCCAGGGCACUCCACCUACUUCCACUAAAGAAGCUCACCACAGACCACUGUUUAUACUCCAUGCCAACUCUCGUUGAUGAUGGAAGCCAUCCCCCCAGUACCCCAUCCCUGGAGACCCCGUUCCCAGUGUCACGAUGCGUGCGAAGCUGAAACUGUUGUUAAGAGAUUGCUUGGUGAGUAGGAUUUGGAACCAGAGUAGGGCGACUCUCAAGAAGGUCAUCAUUCAGGCCCUGGAAAAGAUCGGAGGACUGUGUUGGUCCCAUUCUUGAGCCUACCUCUCCAAGGGUGAGAAUAUCCAUAUGUCCCAGAUCUUUGUCUUCUGCUCAGGAUGAAGCUGGACCCGUUCUGUGAAUUUCCACUUUCUGUCUCCGCCCAUGCCUACUUUGCAUAGGCUUUGGACACCAUAAUAACAAUCAAGGUGGUUUGGGUUUAAGCCUGUGUGAUAGGAAUCCCUUAUUUUCAUGAGUGUUUUUUCACACUCAGGGUUUAGGGGACACUUUCCUGUUACCCUUAUACCACCUGUCCUACCUUCUGCCAGAAAUAGGCUUAGUGAUAAAAUACCCAACUGCAUGUGUGAAUGAACAGCAACAUAAAGAUCAGAAACUACAUGGAUACAGGGGAGAACAUUGUACCUGUCACCUAGUCAAGAGUGUGACUAGAAUGAUUUUUAAGCUUCCUGGAAGACCAGACACAGAAGAGAAUAAAUGGAGAAUAAAUAAAUGGUUUGAUUUGAAUAAUGGUUGACUCACACUUCAGAAAUUUUAAAGGGCCAUCAGGAAUUUACUAGGUAAGCACAAAGGAUCUGGUUGUUCCUGCAGAGUUGAAUUAGCAAACAUUUUCGCUUUAAACACUUUAUUAGUAAAAAGAAGCUAACUCUGGGGCGCCUGGGUGGCUCAGUUGGUUAAAUGUCCAACUCUGGCUCAAAGUCAUGAUUUCAGGGCUCAUGAGUUCGAGCCCUGCAUCAGGCUGUCUCCUAUCGGUCCAGAACCCACUUUGGAUCUUCUACCUCCCUCUCUCUCUCUGCCCCUCCCCCCUUUCUCUCUCUCUCAUAAUUAAACAUUAAAAAAAAAAAAAAGCUAAUUCUCAUUCAGGAUGAAAGAGCCUCAGAAACACAGAGUCUACUUUUACGAGUGAUCUUUCCCUACACAAGGCCACCAGCAUGCAAAGUUUCCACAGCUUAAUUUAACAAACAUUUAGUAAGCAUCUAUUGUGUGCCAGACAAUGUUAGGUUCUGAGGAUACAAAAUUGUAUAAAAUAUGAUGCCAUCCUUCAAGGAACUUACAGUCUAAUUGGGAAAAGGGACAAAGAAGUGAAAAAUAGCUCUGUGGUUGCACCCAGAUGAACACCAGGGACUGAGGGAGCCCUUGGGCCACAGAGGGGCUCCAGGAAGUCUGCCUGGAGGAGGUAACCCCUGAGCCAAGCCUUGAAAAAUGAUUUCGGGUCUGGUCUGAUCGUCCAAAUGGAAUAUGUGUGACACUGAAGCUGGAGUUAGGAGCCCGGGAUCUGACUUUCAUCUAACUAACUUGCUGUGUGACCUUGUGAAAGUCAUAUUCCCUCUCUGGGAAUCACUGAAUUCUCAGGGUAAAUGUGGGAGAGAAGGUCACUAGCAUUCCGCAGUAAGAUGGGGCGUGAGAAAUUCAUCCACUGGAAAGAAAGACAAAACUCUUUAGAAUACAUGAUUCAAAUAAAUGGGAAAUAAAUGUGAUCGGUCAGGUACUUAGGCUGAAAGCGCCAGCUAAACCCCAGUAACACACCAGUGGAAAGUCAGCGCAGAAAACCAGUACUUUGGCAGAUUGAAAAAAACACUUCAGUCUUUCUCAAGAAACAGAAGUUUCCUCUGAGGAAUCUAAAGAGAAGCCUGCAAAGCCUGCAGUUAGGAACCCAAGCAGCCUUCAAUCCAGGGGCCGGGCCGCGCAGAAACCCGGAGCUCUAAUGGAAGGGGCAGGCCCGGCGCGGCGGCGGCAGCCAAUGAGAGAGCUUCCCGAUGAGGUCAUGGAGUUCCUCGGCGCUUCAUUGGAGGACCCCCCGCGAGGCUUUGGCGCCGACUGCCCCGCAGGACGGCGGGUAGCAGCCGCAGGCCCGGGAGCCAGGGCUGGGAGGGCACGUCCCCAAACUUUCUCCCAGUAUUUAUUUACGCAGAGCAGCGAGCCACACGCACAGCCCUUCACGCAAGUCCAAGUCCGCAUGGAUGGACAAGGAGGCAGCUGCCCACACAGGGGACCUCAAGGAGCACAAUCUGGAAAGAGCUGAAGCAGGACGUGGCAUUCCUAUGGCCCUUACCAUCCUGAACAUCAGGCCAGCAUCUGCCACAUGCUGCCUUCUACAGGUCAUGGGCUCUGUUCGUCAGCUUCUCACAGUGUCCCCGGCCCGGGGGCCUGUGGACACCAGGCACUGCGGGCCAUGGCUUAGCCCUCCGUGCAGCCUCAGGACACCCAACUCAGCAGAAUUGCUGCUGUUUAAAAGAGGCUGGGAGCUGGAUUUGCUGGGUUCCAAUGGCCCCAGGGGCAUCUGGUUGCUGAAAUCACAAGAGGUUUGCCUUUCUGGCCUCAGAGACCUAAGGGAUCAAGGCUCAGCUUCAGGCAAGAGCAUCUCAUGCUUGAUUGCCAGAAUUCCUGGGCCCCAAUGUGGAUACGAUUUCAGGGCUUCUUUCCACUGCAGGCCUGAUCAGCAAAUGCUCCCAGCUGAGUGUUCAGGAACCUUCACCACAUUAACAAAGCCCAUGAUAGGUUGGCUUGUACACAUUGGGCCUCAAAUAUUUUUGCUGCAUAAACGAUCAAGUCAUUCAGGCAAACAGUAACCUCCAGGUCAGUUUCAAGGGCGCCAAAAAGGCUUCUUCCCCGACGUUUCACCUACCUGUCCUCCCUACAGUCCUUAGAGAGUCUGGUCUUGGGCAGGUGCCUGUUAACAUGCAAAUGUGUCCGAAGAUAAUACGGAAACUAUAGUCUCUGUGGUCUCCCAGCUCAAAUUAGUUUCUUAUCUCCCUUUCCCUGCGGUGGGAGGGGCUGUCAGGGAAUCGAGGGAGGGCGCAGAGGCCCUGUCUGCCCAGGUUAGUGUGGGAGGGUGCCCUGGAGAAACUUCAUUGACAUCCAGCUUUUCCCAAACAGGGGAACCAGUUCCUGGUGAUUAAGACAUUGGGGCCCGAGGGAAGUCCUGAGAGAGCAGAAGGUCACAGAGCACAGAGAAAGGAGCAAGGUGAGGACAUCCAAGGGACUGUCUGUGGUCUGGAGGUAAGCCUGGAUCAGACCAGACUGGAGCUCCAGGCUCAGGGCUCCCUUCCCUGUGCUACGGGUCACAGCUGCACACAGGCCGGGGCCAUUGUUUCCAGAUUUACUGAGGGACAAAGCUGGAUGCUGGCAACACGCAGUGGGGAGCUGACAGCUGAAUGGGGAGGACACCCAGCCAUUAGAUGGCUAUGAAGUCACGUACUUAUAACUAUGAGUUAUAUUAGGAAGAUAUGUGGGGUCUGGGAAGGCGAGGAACAAUCGGAAGGCCCCCACUGAGGGUAGGGAUCAGGGAUGCCUCUGGGCAGCGGAUGGAAGUGGAGAUCUCCUGUCAGGAUGGGGUCAGGGAGUGCUGGGGGCAGAGUGAGCAGAGCAAGGAGCUCAGGGGCUGGGGCCUGCCCUCUACUGGGUUAAGACAAGAGCAGGACCACAGGGGGCUUGGAGGCGUCUGCCGAGGAUCAGUUGGGAGCCACCGAGCAGUUUCAGUUUCGGCGGAACAUGACGUGAUCAGACUUGGAUUUUAUCAUGGUCAUUGGGGUGACGCCCACCUCAAAAAUCCCCACGCCUGGCUUACCUGGCUUACCGCUGAAGUUCAGGCCCCCCUAGCCCAAGAGAGCCCUGGGGGAGGCCAGCUUCCUUCUCUGCAAGCGGAUCAGUGGCCUUUGUGGAGAAACCACAGCUCAAACUUACUUUUAUUUCCCAAAGACCAGGAGACAUCGAAACCCACUCUUGGCCCUCAGCUUCAGGGAGUCUUUUUGGCUCCCGGAGGCACCCCCAUCUGGCCCUCUCUGAGCUGGACACCAGAGCACAGGGGCGUUUCUGGGCUGGCUGGCCCCUGACUUUGUGCCUGGGAGGCAGAAGGUACCAUUUUCCCUCGGGCCUCUGCACCUCUCUGAAAUCUUGGGAGAGCUACAGAGCCACCUUCCGACAGGGAUGGAGUGCUGGGGUCCGCAUGGUCCAGCUGCCGGGGCGGAAGGGUGCAGAGCCUGGGCCCCUCCUCCUUUACCAGGUGAGGGGUGCUGUCGAGCAGACAAAAUCAGCUGAGGCCCAUCCCCUCGUCAGGAAGCUGGGUUCUAGAUUUCCUGUGCCCCCCACCCCUCUGUGCUCUGUUGAUUUGGGUGUCUGUAUACAGGCUGGGGACGAUGUCUGUCUGCCUGUGUUUCUUUCUCUGAAAAACUUGUAAAAUAAAAAACCCACAUGGUGUCCAGGGUGGAGCCAUCUCUAAAGUGUCCUUUCUCCAGACUGUGGGCAAAUCACUUAACCUUUCUGGGCCUCAGUUUUCUUGUUGUAAAUUUCUCAUGACCCCAAAGUAUCUCAGAGUAGGAGCGUCAGGACACCCCAUCCUAGUCAGUGGCCAAUCGUGCAGUGUCCAGAAACCCAAGCGCAUUGAGAUCCUGGGCCUCCCCGAGUGACCCCACAGGGGUCACCUGGAGGGCCUCACACGGAUGCAGAGGAGUGGGCCCCAAACUUCUAAGGGGCAUCUGUGUUCCACAAAGCCCUAGAGCAGCUCAGGUCGUGACCUCAAACCCCAGGAAACAACCACCUAUCAAAAGGUGGUCAUGACCUGUGGUUUCUUUUUUUUUUUUAAUUUUUUUUUUCAACGUUUAUUUAUUUUUGGAACAGAGAGAGACAGAGCAUGAACGGGGGAGGGGCAGAGAGAGAGGGAGA
This is a long non-coding RNA of Felis catus (domestic cat), 5341 nucleotides long. RefSeq lists it as uncharacterized. The transcript is spliced from 3 exons. The record is from RefSeq and is a predicted model, not a curated record. Lineage: Eukaryota; Metazoa; Chordata; Mammalia; Carnivora; Felidae.